RNAcentral lists this long non-coding RNA (1010 nucleotides) under Piliocolobus tephrosceles (Ugandan red Colobus). RNAcentral describes it as "lncRNA (ENSPTEG00000003119.1)". Lineage: Eukaryota; Metazoa; Chordata; Mammalia; Primates; Cercopithecidae. The record is from RNAcentral.
AGCACAAAAACACGUAUUACUUCUACACCAUGCACAACAACAACUAACACUAUGGAUCUUACUACUACUAGUAGUACUACUACUACUAGUACUACUACUACUAAUACUACUACAGGUUCUACUACAUGUGACAAGCUAAUUGAUAAAAUGUGGUGUACUUUAGAACAGUAUUUUCAUGCUCAAAAAUUAUUUAUCGAUACAGAAAGAACGUUGUUAAUUUUAAUGAAAAAUUUAUACAAUACAUAUACAAUUAUUGAUUUAAAAAAUAAUUAUACAUUUAUAAAUAAAAAAAUGACAAAUGAUAUAAUAGAUUCUAUGCCCAUAUUACAUUCAGUGUUAAGGUAUAGUGAUAUGCUCAUACAAAACAUUGAUGAAUUAAAAAAUAUUGAAAAUAAUGAUGUUUUUAUUAAUAUACUAUUAAUUAUUAAAAAUGCAAAAUGUUUAUGCCUAGCUUGUUAUUACACAUUAACUCAGAAACAAGCUGAAGCGUAUGUAUUAUUUGACCAAAUAAAAAUAAGAAAUUAUGUAUAUGUCAAAAAUAAUAAUAUUAAAGAUAUACAUAAUCCUGCAUUGUUAAGGAUAGCCAUUUUGUUUAAUAGGCUACAAGAUUUAGUUCUACUUAUUAAUGAAAAAUAUUAUUUAAGACAUUUAGCAAUAUAUGCAUUACAAGUCAAAAAUAAGUCACAAGCACAUAUGAAUAAAAACUUAUUUUCUGUUGAUAACUCCCUUUUUAAUUAUAAAAUGAACCAAAUCUCACUUAAUCCUUUGCAUAUUGAUAUGGUGAAAUUGUGUAAAGAGGAAGAACUGCUUAAACUAGAAAGUCCAAAAGAAAAGAAGGAAACGACUGGAAUAAGGGGAUUAUUACGUUCUUUUUGGAAAUAAAAAAAAAAAAAAAAAAAAAAAAAAAAAAAAAAAAAAAUAGCAAGUGAUACAGCUGAGGAGAAAUACUACCAUGUGAAUAACUUAUUCAUUUUUGUUAUAUACAUGAUUUAUUUGAGUAAUAUAUAUAU